Molecule: ribosomal RNA, 393 nt
Filed under: uncultured bacterium
Lineage: Bacteria
Description: bacterial SSU rRNA
Rfam family: Bacterial small subunit ribosomal RNA
Source: RNAcentral
GACGAACGCCGGCGGCGUGCUUAACACAUGCAAGUCGAGCGGUAAGGCCCUUUCGGGGGUACGACGAGCGGCGAACGGGUGAGUAACACGUGGGUGACCUGCCCUCCAGCUCUGGGAGUAAGCCUGGGAAACCGGGUCUAAUACUGGAUACGACUCCAUGACGCAUGUUGGUGGGGUGGGAAAGCCUUGUGCGGCUGAGGAUGGGCCCGCGGCCUAUCAGCUUGUUGGUGGGGUGAUGGCCACCAAGGCGACGACGGGUAGCCGGCCUGAGAGGGCGACCGGCCACACUGGGACUGAGACACGGCCCAGACUCCUACGGGAGGGCAGCAGUGGGGAAUCUUGCGCAAUGGGCGAAAGCCUGACGCAGCGACGCCGCGUGAGGGAUGACGGCCU